This 253-nucleotide ribosomal RNA is filed under the name uncultured bacterium. RNAcentral's name for it is "partial 16S ribosomal RNA". It matches the Rfam family "Bacterial small subunit ribosomal RNA", at positions 524 to 776 of the family's 1533-position model. The record is from RNAcentral.
UACGGAGGGUGCAAGCGUUAUCCGGAUUUACUGGGUUUAAAGGGUGUGUAGGCGGGCUUUUAAGUCAGUGGUGAAAUCUCCGGGCUCAACCUGGAAACUGCCAUUGAUACUAUUAGUCUUGAAUUUUGUUGAGGUAGGCGGAAUAAGUCAUGUAGCGGUGAAAUGCAUAGAUAUGACGUAGAACACCAAUUGCGAAGGCAGCUUGCUAAACAAAUAUUGACGCUGAGGCACGAAAGCGUGGGGAUCAAACAGG